ACGUAGGUGGCAAGCGUUGUCCGGAUUUACUGGGCGUAAAGAGCGCGCAGGCGGCUGGUCAAGUCCGAUGUGAAAUCUCCCGGCUCAACUGGGAAACUGCAUCGGAAACUGAUCGGCUUGAAGGUGGGAGAGGGUAGUGGAAUUCCCGGUGUAGUGGUGAAAUGCGUAGAUAUCGGGAGGAACACCAGUGGCGAAGGCGGCUAUCUGGACAGAAACUGACGCUGAGGCGCGAAAGCUAGGGGAGCAAACAGGA
This 253-nucleotide ribosomal RNA is filed under the name uncultured prokaryote. Its description in RNAcentral is "partial 16S ribosomal RNA". It matches the Rfam family "Bacterial small subunit ribosomal RNA", at positions 525 to 777 of the family's 1533-position model. The record is from RNAcentral.